Molecule: ribosomal RNA, 951 nt
Filed under: marine bacterium SIMO-1633
Lineage: Bacteria
Description: bacterial SSU rRNA
Rfam family: Bacterial small subunit ribosomal RNA
Source: RNAcentral
GGGAGCUUGCUCCCAGACCGUCAGCGGCGGACGGGUGAGUAACACGUGGGCAACCUGCCUGUAAGACUGGGAUAACUCCGGGAAACCGGGAGCUAAUACCGGAUAACUCUUUNCCUCACAUGAGGAAAAGCUGAAAGAUGGCAUCUCGCUAUCACUUACAGAUGGGCCCGCGGCGCANUAUAUAGUUGGUGAGGUAACGGCUCACCAAGGCGACGAUGCGUAGCCGACCUGAGAGGGUGAUCGGCCACACUGGGACUGAGACACGGCCCAGACUCCUACGGGAGGCAGCAGUAGGGAAUCUUCCGCAAUGGACGAAAGUCUGACGGAGCAACGCCGCGUGAGUGAUGAAGGUUUUCGNAUCGUAAAACUCUGUUGUCAGGGAAGAACAAGUACCGGAGUAACUGCCGGUACCUUGACGGUACCUGACCAGAAAGCCACGGCUAACUACGUGCCAGCAGCCGCGGUAAUACGUAGGUGGCAAGCGUUGUCCGGAAUUAUUGGGCGUAAAGCGCGCGCAGGCGGUUCCUUAAGUCUGAUGUGAAAGCCCCCGGCUCAACCGGGGAGGGUCAUUGGAAACUGGGGAACUUGAGUGCAGAAGAGAAGAGUGGAAUUCCACGUGUAGCGGUGAAAUGCGUAGAGAUGUGGAGGAACACCAGUGGCGAAGGCGACUCUUUGGUCUGUAACUGACGCUGAGGCGCGAAAGCGUGGGGAGCAACAGGAUUAGAUACCCUGGUAGUCCACGCCGUAAACGAUGAGUGCUAAGUGUUAGAGGGUUUCCCCCCUUUAGUGCUGCAGCAANCGCAUUAAGCACUCCNCCUGGGGAGUACGGCCGCANGGCUGAAACUCAAAGGAAUUGACGGGGGCCCNCACAAGCGGUGGAGCANGUGGUUUAAUUCGAAGCACCGCGAANAACCUUACNAGGUCUUGACAUCUCNUGACACCCUAGAGAUA